This 1443-nucleotide ribosomal RNA is filed under the name uncultured organism. Its description in RNAcentral is "16S ribosomal RNA". It matches the Rfam family "Bacterial small subunit ribosomal RNA". The record is from RNAcentral.
GAUGAACGCUAGCUACAGGCUUAACACAUGCAAGUCGAGGGGCAUCAGGAAGAAAGCUUGCUUUCUUUGCUGGCGACCGGCGCACGGGUGAGUAACACGUAUCCAACCUGCCCUUUACUCGGGGAUAGCCUUUCGAAAGAAAGAUUAAUACCCGAUAGCAUAAUGAUUCCGCAUGGUUUCAUUAUUAAAGGAUUCCGGUAAAGGAUGGGGAUGCGUUCCAUUAGGUUGUUGGUGAGGUAACGGCCCACCAAGCCUUCGAUGGAUAGGGGUUCUGAGAGGAAGGUCCCCCACAUUGGAACUGAGACACGGUCCAAACUCCUACGGGAGGCAGCAGUGAGGAAUAUUGGUCAAUGGGCGCUAGCCUGAACCAGCCAAGUAGCGUGAAGGAUGAAGGCUCUAUGGGUCGUAAACUUCUUUUAUAUAAGAAUAAAGUGCAGUAUGUAUACUGUUUUGUAUGUAUUAUAUGAAUAAGGAUCGGCUAACUCCGUGCCAGCAGCCGCGGUAAUACGGAGGAUCCGAGCGUUAUCCGGAUUUAUUGGGUUUAAAGGGAGCGUAGGUGGACUGGUAAGUCAGUUGUGAAAGUUUGCGGCUCAACCGUAAAAUUGCAGUUGAUACUGUCAGUCUUGAGUACAGUAGAGGUGGGCGGAAUUCGUGGUGUAGCGGUGAAAUGCUUAGAUAUCACGAAGAACUCCGAUUGCGAAGGCAGCUCACUGGACUGCAACUGACACUGAUGCUCGAAAGUGUGGGUAUCAAACAGGAUUAGAUACCCUGGUAGUCCACACAGUAAACGAUGAAUACUCGCUGUUUGCGAUAUACAGUAAGCGGCCAAGCGAAAGCAUUAAGUAUUCCACCUGGGGAGUACGCCGGCAACGGUGAAACUCAAAGGAAUUGACGGGGGCCCGCACAAGCGGAGGAACAUGUGGUUUAAUUCGAUGAUACGCGAGGAACCUUACCCGGGCUUAAAUUGCAGUGGAAUGAUGUGGAAACAUGUCAGUGAGCAAUCACCGCUGUGAAGGUGCUGCAUGGUUGUCGUCAGCUCGUGCCGUGAGGUGUCGGCUUAAGUGCCAUAACGAGCGCAACCCUUAUCUUUAGUUACUAACAGGUUAUGCUGAGGACUCUAGAGAGACUGCCGUCGUAAGAUGUGAGGAAGGUGGGGAUGACGUCAAAUCAGCACGGCCCUUACGUCCGGGGCUACACACGUGUUACAAUGGGGGGUACAGAAGGCAGCUAGCGGGUGACCGUAUGCUAAUCCCAAAAUCCUCUCUCAGUUCGGAUCGAAGUCUGCAACCCGACUUCGUGAAGCUGGAUUCGCUAGUAAUCGCGCAUCAGCCACGGCGCGGUGAAUACGUUCCCGGGCCUUGUACACACCGCCCGUCAAGCCAUGGGAGCCGGGGGUACCUGAAGUACGUAACCGCAAGGAUCGUCCUAGGGUAAAACUGGUAA